Manis pentadactyla (Chinese pangolin) is the source of this 191-nucleotide small nuclear RNA. RefSeq annotates it as U2 spliceosomal RNA. The transcript has a single exon. Lineage: Eukaryota; Metazoa; Chordata; Mammalia; Pholidota; Manidae. The record is from RefSeq and is a predicted model, not a curated record.
AUCACUUCUUGGACUCUUGGCUAAGAUCAAGUGUAAUAUCUCUUCUUAUCAGUUUAAUAUCUGAUAUAUUCUCUAUCUGAGGACAAUAUGUUAAAUGUAUUUGGGGAGCAGGAAGAUAGAAUAGAAGCUUGCUCUAUCCACUUCAUUCAUUGACUUGGUAUUACAGUAUCUCCAGGAAUGGUGCACCCCUU